UUUUAAUGAUGAAAAACUUUAUUUCAGUUCUGCUACUGAUUAAUAAACCAUGUUGAUAACACCUUUACCAAAAGCUUACUUAUCUGAUAU
Molecule: small nucleolar RNA, 90 nt
Filed under: Nadsonia fulvescens var. elongata DSM 6958
Lineage: Eukaryota; Fungi; Ascomycota; Dipodascomycetes; Dipodascales
Source: RNAcentral